Molecule: long non-coding RNA, 766 nt
Organism: Xenopus laevis (African clawed frog)
Lineage: Eukaryota; Metazoa; Chordata; Amphibia; Anura; Pipidae
Exons: 4
Source: RefSeq, a predicted model, not a curated record
GGCCAAAUGCGGCCCGAUAUCCAUUUUUAAUUGGCCCGCAGCGUGCAGAAAUCCCUCCCCCCUCUCAGCAUCCAUAAAAAAAAAGUUUCCUACCACGGCGUCAUUGAGGGGCGGAACCUACAGUGCUUCACAGAAGCUACAGAAGCUUGUCCUAAACUCCGCCCUCCCCUCCCCGUGACUGGAGUUUAGUGUAGUGCGGGGAGGGAGGGGGAGCCAGUAAACAAACUGAAAGCAUGGCUCCAACUGCUGCCUAACCUGGCCUGGAGUUCCUGCUUGUUCUCAUGAACUAUAAAAUGGAUACUUAUUGACUAAUAUUAUGAAUGUGAAAUUCUCUACUUAAGGGUUACUGUAAUAAACUGCUGUUAUUAUUUUCUGAAGAGCUUGAACUGGGUGACGGUGUUUGAGGAAUCCCACUGGAUGUUCGGUGCAUCUAGAAUGUCAUGUUCUUGGGCCAUUAAUUUUUGGAGGAAUUUUUGCUUCCUGUAGGAAUUGAAGGCCGUCUUGUGGGUCAUCUUCUGAUGCUUCAUAGAACUUUCGAAAAAGUUCAGUCAAUAUGUUUCUAAAAUGUUGUGGAUCAUGUGUCCAUCCGUCUUUUGUUUUAAUCUUAUGUAUGUAAGUGUUGCAUGUUUGUCUUUUAGCUAACUGUGCCAAUAAUUUCCCUGAUUUGUUACCGUAUCUGUAAAAUUUGUUUGUUGUAUUACUCAUUGCCAUAUGUACUUUUUCUGUUAAUAAAGUGUCAAAGAGUAUCUUUGCUCCUUUAUAUUUA